UACGAAGGGGGCGAGCGUUGUUCGGAUUUACUGGGCGUAAAGCGCGUGUAGGCGGCUUGGCAAGUUGAAUGUGAAAGCCCACGGCUCAACCGUGGAAGCGCAUCCAAAACUGCUUCGCUGGAGUCUCGGAGAGGAAGGUGGAAUGCUUGGUGUAGAGGUGAAAUUCGUAGAUAUCAAGCAGAACACCUGCGGCGAAGGCGGCCUUCUGGACGAUGACUGACGCUGAGACGCGAAAGCGUGGGGAGCAAACAGG
This 253-nucleotide ribosomal RNA is filed under the name uncultured bacterium. RNAcentral's name for it is "partial 16S ribosomal RNA". It matches the Rfam family "Bacterial small subunit ribosomal RNA", at positions 524 to 776 of the family's 1533-position model. The record is from RNAcentral.